Long non-coding RNA from Oreochromis aureus, 599 nucleotides. The record is from Ensembl. NCBI's taxonomy places the organism in Eukaryota, Metazoa, Chordata, Actinopteri, Cichliformes, Cichlidae.
GACGCAGUGUGUUUAGAGUGGAAGGACCACUGUCUUCAAUUCAAAGUUGGCUAAACAUGGCAGCUUUUCAGAAGUCUAGUCGCAGAAAAGAAGAUAAACAUAGUAGAUAGCUGGCAAAGAACACAACAACAACUACAAUCAAGCAUUUGCAAGACUGGCAAUGAGUCUCUCACAGCACUAUGGUGGAAUUAUGGCCCACUCAUCUGUGCAGAUUUGUAUUAAUUUGGCCACACUGGAGCGUUUUUAAGCAUAAACCACCUUUUUAAUGUCAUGUCACAGUAUGUCAAUCGGAUUCGGGUCAGGACUUUCACUAGGCAACUCUGAAGUCUUCAUUUUGAUUUUUCUUAAGCCAUUCAGAAAUGGACUUACUGAUGUGUUUUGGAUCACUGUCCUGCUGCAGAACCCAAGUGUGCUUCAGCUUGAGGUCACGAACGGAUGGCUGGACAUUGUCCUUCCGAAUGUUUUGGUCGACUGCAGAAUUCAUCGUUUCAUUUACAACAGCAAGUCUUCCAGGUGUUCAAACAGCAAAACUGGGACCGGCUGUUCCUUUUGCUCAGCAGUGGUUUUCCUCUUGUAACUCUGCCAUGCAGGCCAUUUUU